AAACGAUCUGGUGUCUGCGGAAGCUCG
RNAcentral lists this small RNA (27 nucleotides) under Bombyx mori (domestic silkworm). RNAcentral describes it as "ovarian small RNA-9971". Lineage: Eukaryota; Metazoa; Arthropoda; Insecta; Lepidoptera; Bombycidae. The record is from RNAcentral.